CGACUACUGCCCAUCCGACAGGAAGAACUGGAUGUCGGGUAUCGGCCCGGAAAAGCAUCGGAUCAACCAGAUUGUCUGGCCUGGGACACAUGAUUCCGCCACCAACAAGAUCGGGAUCCCAUUCAUCAGCCGCCCCUUCGCGCAAUGUCAAUCCCUCUCAAUCUACCAACAGCCGGUAACAGAAGCCAGGGUCCUCGAUAUCCGGGUCGAGGAAGAUCGCCGAGUCUGCCACGAAAUCCUCCUCAGCUACAGCGUUGAUGUCGUCAUUCAGGACCUCAAAAAGUUCCUGUCGGAGACACGAUCAUAGGUUGUGACCCUCGAGAUCAGGACAGAAUUCGGUCACGACGACCCCCCUGAUUUUGACAAGUACUUGGAAGAACAACUCGGCGAGUAUCUGAUCCACCAAGACGAACAAGUAUUCGAAAAAACAAUAUCGGAACUGCAAUCGAAACGGGUCAUCUGCGUCUGGAAGUCUAGAAAAACCCCGCAACCGAAGGCAGGCAGCCCAUUAUGGAGCACCGGAUGCCUGAAAGAUAACCGGAUCGACAACGAAUUGCCGUUGACGAAAUUUGAGAGCAAUAUGAAGUAUUUACGGGAGCAGCAGCCGGUGGCGAACCAAAAAUUCUUCUACAGGGUGGAGAACACGGUGACGCCUCAGGCGGAUAACCAGAUUCUGUCCGUGAAACCCGUUACGAAUAGGAUACACCCGUAUGCGAGGAUGCUCAUAUGUCAAUGCUUCGAGCGGGGGUUA
This 751-nucleotide unclassified non-coding RNA is filed under the name Primulina jianghuaensis. Its description in RNAcentral is "97FR intergenic spacer 97FR". Lineage: Eukaryota; Viridiplantae; Streptophyta; Magnoliopsida; Lamiales; Gesneriaceae. The record is from RNAcentral.